UCCAGCUUAUCGCUGGCGGUCUCAGGAUGUCAAACCCUGGUAAGGUUCUGCGCGUUGCGUCGAAUUAAACCACAUGCUCCACCGCUUGUGCGGGCCCCCGUCAAUUCCUUUGAGUUUCAACCUUGCGGCCGUACUCCCCAGGCGGAUUGCUUAAUGCGUUAGCUGCGCCACUGAACAGCAAGCUGCCCAACGGCUAGCAAUCAUCGUUUACGGCGUGGACUAC
Molecule: unclassified non-coding RNA, 223 nt
Filed under: uncultured Alphaproteobacteria bacterium
Lineage: Bacteria; Pseudomonadati; Pseudomonadota; Alphaproteobacteria
Description: contains 16S-23S intergenic spacer region
Source: RNAcentral